AGUGAACGCUGGCGGUAGGCCUAACACAUGCAAGUCGAACGGCAGCACAGUAAGAGCUUGCUCUUACGGGUGGCGAGUGGCGGACGGGUGAGGAAUACAUCGGAAUCUACUUUUUCGUGGGGGAUAACGUAGGGAAACUUACGCUAAUACCGCAUACGACCUACGGGUGAAAGCAGGAGAUCUUCGGACCUUGCGCGAUUGAAUGAGCCGAUGUCGGAUUAGCUAGUUGGCGGGGUAAAGGCCCACCAAGGCGACGAUCCGUAGCUGGUCUGAGAGGAUGAUCAGCCACACUGGAACUGAGACACGGUCCAGACGCCUACGGGAGGCAGCAGUGGGGAAUAUGGGACAAUGGGCGCAAGCCUGAUCCAGCCAUACCGCGUGGGUGAAGAAGGCCUUCGGGUUGUAAAGCCCUUUUGUUGGGAAAGAAAAGCAGCAGGUUAAUACCCCGCUGUUCUGACGGUACCCAAAGAAUAAGCACCGGCUAACUUCGU
Molecule: ribosomal RNA, 491 nt
Filed under: uncultured bacterium
Lineage: Bacteria
Description: partial 16S ribosomal RNA
Rfam family: Bacterial small subunit ribosomal RNA
Source: RNAcentral